RNAcentral lists this long non-coding RNA (12991 nucleotides) under Ananas comosus (pineapple). RNAcentral's name for it is "long non-coding RNA (ACOM_LNC016790)". The record is from RNAcentral. Lineage: Eukaryota; Viridiplantae; Streptophyta; Magnoliopsida; Poales; Bromeliaceae.
UCGGGGCAUAAUAGAGCAAUAUAAUAAGGUUUUACUCUUUGUUCGAUAGAAUGAGAAAAAGUACUCCUUACAAAGUUAUACUGUUAAGGCGCUACUGAAUAGUCUAAUGUUGUUCCGGUUUUGAUUCUUGUGAAAGUUGACAUCGAUUUGUUCCAAAUUUACACUCUCGGGGCAUAAUAGACCAAUAUAAUUAGGUUUACUCCUUGUUCGAUGGAAUGAGAAAAAGUACUCGUUGCAAAGUUAUACUGUUAGGGCGCAACUGAGUAGUCUAAUGUUGUUCCGAUUUUUGUUCUUCUGAACGUUGACAUCGAUUUGUUUCAANGUUAAUUAAGAGAAACCAUCUCUCUUUCUCUCUAGUAUCUCCGUUUCUCUCUCUCUCUCUUUUCUUCGAACGAGAGGUUCGGAGAGAGCCAAACCCGUGGUUUCUCUUUUCUCACGUUCAAGUGUAUAUAUAUAUAUAUAUAUAUCUCUCUCUCUCUCUCUCUCUCUCUCUCUCUCUCGUCCCGACGACACGAGAUCCCUCGUGCCUCCGGAGGCACGAGGACUCGGCAAAAGCUACUACCUCAAAGGCUUAGUUGCUAGCCGAGGCAAUUUGAACUAGAUCGCAUAAACUUCAAAGAUCUUUUAUUAAAAACACUAAAAAGCUAUAGUAAAUGGAUCGUUAGCUUUCCUAAGUUUUAGUUAUUAAAAAUUGCCAACUUUUAUUUUUAGGAUAUUUUUCACCACUAUAUCGUGAUUUUAAAAGCUAGUCUUUAUAACUAGAACAAUAUCUAUCAUAUUUCUGAGGAGAAAAUUGGAAUUGCUUGGUGGUGUAGCAAGCUUGGUGGAGAAGAAGGCUUGGAGUUGAAGCUUCAUCUUCAUCUUCUCCUUCCUUGGUCUAAGAGGAAACUUGAGAGGUUUUCUGACGCGCUGGCGAAGUCGGUUCGGCGAUACGACGAGGUUACGCGAAGAUAUUGAAGAAAAGGCCGAUUUCGGUACAGAUUGCCGCAGCUCGUGGCGUAAGCUCCCAAAAAUCACGAAACCGGAAUCGUAGCAUCGUGACAUCACCUAAAGUCUUGGAGCUAAAAAAGUCGGGGGCACGAAGGGUCGCGUGGAGCUCUCGGUGGGUUUGACCUCGCUACAAAUGAGAAAAUCUCAUUUAUGUGGAUUUAAGUAUCGUAAAAUGGAAAAUCACGCAUUUUAAUGAAAAAUGCAUUAUUUGUGAAUUUUAAAAUGCUUGAAAUGCUUAUGUUAUAUACAAUGCAUUUUCGGACCUCUAUGUAGUAGAGAGCUUGCAUGUAAGACUUAUGCAUGGGUUUAGCAUUCUAAUUGGGACUUGGAAUCAUGCUUCAUAUAGUAGACAUGACAAAUGUGUAAUAUGCCUUGGACAUAAAUCUCAUUUGGACAUAAGAGAAUACAUUAGGCCAUAAAGUGGUUUUGGACUUGAAUAACUUGUGAGUUAGGGAGCUAAUGUCGUAAUGCGACAUCGGGCUUGAGCUAUGAAUGAGCCUAGCAAAGUAAUGCCAUAGAGAGGCAUUAGGCUUGAAUGAUAUGUGAAUUGUAUAUGCAUGUUAAUAGUAUGAGAAUUAUGCUAAGUUGGUAGUUGCAUUGGAAAGUGUAUGCAUGUAGCAUUAUGAGAACUAUGCUAUGUUGAUAGUUGUAUACGGAUGCAUUGAAACCAUAUGCUAGUGGAUAGAUGCAUGUUAAUAUUUAUAUGCAUUGUGGAAUACAUGCUAGGUACAUAUUAGCAAUGUGAGAUCAUGCUAGAGAGCAUGCGAAUUAACCUAUUAUUGAUAGGGUAAGCUAAUGUCAUAAAGAGGCAUUGGGCUUGAAAUUUGUAAGGUACAGAACUUCUUAAAUUCUGAAGUUACGGUAGGAUGUAAUAGGUUUUACUCUUUGUUCGAUAGAAUGAGAAAAAGUACACGUUGCAAAGUUAUACUGUUAUGGCGCAACUGAGUAGUCUAAUGUUGUUCCGGUUUUGAUUCUUGUGAACGUUGAAAAUUCGUUCCAAAUUUACACUCUCGGGGCAUAAUAGAACUAUAUAAUUAGGUUUUACUCUUUGUUCGAUAGAAUGAGAAAAAGUACUCGUUUCAAAGUUAUACUGUUAGGGCGCAACAGAGUAGUCUAAUGUUGUUCUGGUUUUCGUUCUUGUGAACGUUGACAUCGAUUCGUUCCAAAUUUACACUCUAGGGGCAUAAUAGAACUAUAUAAUUAGGUUUUACCCUUUGUUCAAUAGAAUGAGAAAAAGUACUCGUUGCAAAGUUAUACUGUUUGGGCGCAACUGAGUAGUCUAAUUUUGUUCCUGUUUUUGUUUUUGUGAACGUUGACAUCGAUUCGUUCCAAAUUUACACUCUCGGGGCAUAAUAGAACAAUAUAAUUAGGUUUUACUCUUUGUUCGAUAGAAUGAGAAAAAGUACUUGUUGCAAAGUUAUACUGUUAAGGCGCAACUGAGUAGUCUAAUGUUGUUCCGAUUUUGGUUCUUGUGAAUGUUGACAUUGAUUCGUUCAAAAUUUACACUCUCGAGGUAUAAUAAAAUAAUAUAAUUAGGUUUUACUCUUUAUUCGAUAGAAUGAGAAAAAGUACUCGUCGCAAAGUUAUACUGUUAGGGGGCAACUGAGUAGUCUACUGUUGUUCCGAUUUUGGUUCUUGUGAACGUUGACAUCGAUUCGUUCCAAAUUUACACUCUCGAGGUAUAAUAGACCAAUAUAAUUAGGUUUUCUCUUUGUUCGAUAGAAUGAGAAAAAGUACUCGUUGCAAAGUUAUAUUGUUAGGGCGCAACUGAGUAGUCUAAUAUUGUUCCGAUUUUGGGGACCGUCCUCUGGCAAGGACCGGUUCCGAACGUUGAAUAUCCCCUUUGCCAGUUUGUGCAGCUUUACGUGGACGGCUCAAAGGGGUCGCUCGCCCGACAAAGGUGACCACCGGUUGGUCCCUCACUGCGAAAAAUACCCAGGGAGGCUGUUUCAAGAAGUGAAAAGUGAGGGUUUUAUGUUGCAUCAAGUGGGUUAUGAGAAGAGGCUAGGCUUGUCCGCCUCUCAUCGCAUCACUUACACUUCAGUGGAUGCCCUUCUUCACGUCGUGAUGUCGUAGUCCUCCAUACUCACGACCUCUGAUGUCUACUCAUCUUCUGGCUCUCUGAAAGGUUAUAACAAAAAAGCAUCAUAUCGGAGGAAAAGAGGAGAAGUAGCAGAAGGCUAGUAGAAUGAUAGAAGGAGACGAGAUAGAGACUGAAAAAGAGCGAGAAAGAGAGGUAUUGACAACUAAGACAGGAAUGAGAAGCAUAUCACGCGAGUUACACUAUUCAUCAUCUCCUCUUGCCCAAAGCUUGGAGCUUGGUAAUGAUGUAAACCUCAACCUUUGAUGUGGUUUCAAUAGGCAGAGGUAGAAGUUUUAUAAUACGAAUAAGCGCGGUUCAAGACUGAACCUUAUUGAGCUGCAUAACUGCCAGGUCGAGAUAUGUUUCGACUCGAAAUCGAAGCUCGCAGCCGGCAGAGUAGUCGUAUCUCAUCAAUGGCCGCAUGAUGCGUGCAUUGUGCUUUUCGAUAGUCUUUCGAGAAUAGGUUGGCCAGAGCAUACUUGAACUGGGCUAUUUAAUUCAAAUUAAUUUCGGCACACCUAAAUUCUAAGGUCCCGAAGUCGUAGGCACAGACGGUGUGUCGCAUUACCGUCGAGUAGCAGUCGAAGUUAUCGCCAAGAGAGACCUUCGGAGCUUCGUGUCCAUGCCUAGAAGGCUAACGGCGUCGAGACGGUUCUAAGGCACGACACAUCGCAAUCGAAGAGCUUCCACAGAAGUCCACCCACCGAGGGGUGGAGCAUCACAGUAAAACCCACCAAAAGUCCUCACCAGGGCGAGAGUGGCGCUACACGAGCUAACCAGAAGGGUGCGGGCGAUCAACAUGGUCGGACUUCACUUUCAUGCUUUAGAUGUCUGAUGUCAUCAUCGAAAGACUUAACUAGUACGAGUUUAUUACAUAUUGUGAUAUAGUCAAUUACUUGACGGAAUUGUCUUAACCAUGGAUUAUCGCUGCAUAUCCUUGCAUGCUAAGGAUGGUAUAGCUCUGCGUUUGUUCAUCAUCGUCAAGACUGAUUUAGUAAAACAUGCAGAGGUGAGCGAUCGUUUGAGAACAGACACCCAAUGAAAAGUCGCCCUAGUCAACUAACGAUAAGAAUUAUUGUUUCAGUAGAUGAUAUAUGAACCUAGUGAUACCUUGGAACACAGUUGUAUUCAAGAACUCUGUCAAGAGAACGAGUGGCCAUCUAGUUAACCUAAACAUGAACGAGUGCAUUAAGUAGCCGGUAGGCAGCGCAAAACCUAAGAAAACUGCCUGCAGCUUGUCGAGAGACUACAUCAGUAUCAGAUAGUGAUGGAUCAGCGCCACCAAUCAAGUUGCUACUACACCGAGGCUAACCUCUCGGUGCCACGAAAUUCCGCCGAGUAUAGAUAUGCCCCCUGUUGAUCAGGGCGAUAUUACGAGAUUAUCAUGACAGAGAUUGAAUCGAGCUCACUUAGCUGCUGUCUUACACCUGUAGGACAGUAAGAAUCCUCGCACCUUCCUUACGAUGCUUUAAGUCGUUACACAACUCCCGGAGUGCUUCUUCGGCGAAGAUAUCUCGCAAGAUACUGGCGGGCCAGUGUAUGCCCUGGAGCCAGUGUAGUGUCCGCUCUCGGAAGAUAGGAUCCGGUCUCCGGGUAAGUGAUAUAGCUAGCCCACUCAUCCCCUAUGCAAGCAUCUUAGACGACGUAGAGGUACACGUAUCAGAUGUCACAAUGAAAACCCGACGGCGAGCGAAACUUGCGUUCGCCGAGAGAUACGAAACUAGAUAUUCCACAGAAUAUAGCCCGAAGAUCCUGUUCAAUCAUGUCCAUGAUGCUGACUCACACUUAGCAUUGUGUUUGAUGGAAGCAUGUAGUCCCGAAAGGCAUCACCGAGACAGCCUAGCAUUCUUACUAUGAGUUGUGCGAAGACAUUCGUAGUGGCAUCCUGAAUUAUGAGGCAUUGUAGUACCUGUGGCGAAUCUAGUUUCUAUGGACCAUCAAUUCACUCUCAGCCCGGAUCUUAAGCUGAAUGGUACCGCUUUCAGUUAAUAUAAUCUAUCUAUCUGCAUAUCUAUCUGUAGCGCGGGGCUAAGACGCUAGUGGGAGGAUCCGAUGCAAUGAGAUCUUCGGAGCAGAUACACGCCAGAACCCACUGGGAAACUAUUCGUAGUUCUCACUCGCACAGAGUACUAUCGCUGCACUGAGGCUGGCUUCCAAAGAAAGGAGACCGUGUUCAAUCUGGGCAGGGGAUACCCCUGUUUCUUACACUGUGACUUUGUUGAGGCGGCUCGAAUCGCCGGAAGGCGUAAGCGCCCUACGGGUUGACAGUGGUAAUCCAGACGAAGAGGGUUUUUCACUUAUUUAAAUAUCAAAUUUUUUCUUGACUUAGCGCCUUAUUUAGAAGACAGGGCAGCACCUCUAGUCGUCUAGGGAGAUCACACCUGGCUCUAUGACCUCCUUUAUCACCCUACCUCAGCUGGCGCCUUCCCUUUACUUCAGCUCCCAGGCAAAGCAAUAUAAGAUUAGUCAUAGCCAUCGAGGAUCGAUGGUGGUUGCCAGACACAGUGAUCUCAUACUGCGGUCAGCACGAGGUCAUCCUGUUAUCUGGUAGUCUAGAGAGUUGUAGGUACGAAUUCACAGACUACAUGGUCAUAUCCAAUGAGUGGUCGCAUUCUUAAUCUUAUGUCUAAUAUACACGGCCGGGCAUUCAACAUUAUUGCCCUAGUAAAGAGAUAUCGCAGCGAAAUAGAGGCUCUAACAUGCUCGGUUAAUAAAUAUAUUAUAAGAAGUUAGCUCGGCAAAAUAGGAUCACCCAUCCUCCGCUCGCAUCGAUAGUAAUGUUGCCUAGUGAAAAACAGUCCAUUAGGUUCGAAUUUUAUUACUACUCAGAUCAGGCUAGAAAAACCCGAUCAUCGUUGUACCAAGAAGUAAAGCGGCGGUGAGUACCAUACGAGCAUAAGUGUAUGCUCAGCUGACAGGCGAGUAAGCAUCAUCCUGCUAGAGGUCGUCUCGAUCUCGAAGUGUACACAUCGAGUGUUUUGCGAGGAAAGACCAAGCUCACAUGCAAAUGAAUGCGAAAUAAAGAGUGGCGAUGCUCUUCACGUACUCGAAAAUGAGCAAUUCUAGCAUCAGAUGAAAUGUUGAAGGUAUGGACAAUACCUCGCAAGACAGUCGCCCACACCAGUGCCCUGCGUGCUGAGUCAGGGCGAAGACCUCUCUGCGCAUCUCCAGAUGCGCUGCCGUGCCCCUCAGUUUGCGCCUCCGUCCCGCGUAAUUGUGGUUGUUAAUUGUUAUGUACCCAGUUCAACGUUGUUCCUUGGAACCUUGUUGCUCACUAAUCUAUGGUUGAGCCUUGGCGACAGAGGAGGCUGUCCGUUCGGCGUCGGUCCGCCCUUCGAGUAGGGGGACCCCGGAGCCACGAAGCAGCUGCAGCUGGGGCUCCGCGGCUUCUGCGGGCGUGCAGGCAUGGGAGGAGACAGGGACUCCCCCUGAGACAUCCGCCACCUCCUAGGACACUGGCUUGCAGGGGAGCCACCUCGCACUGGCCACGAACGGAAACAGUGUCCUCCUCUGCGACCAUUCGCCAUCAACCGCUGAGCUUUGCCGGCAGAUGCACACAACGGUGGAUCGCCCCUCUGCUGAUUGCUCGAGGGCGCACUCUUUGCUCCCUGCUAGAGUGCGCGGAUGCUUUGGCGACCGGUUACUAUUGGAAAGGAGCCGCCGCACGUCUUAGAAUGGGAACGCUUUCUGUUCCCCAUCGCCUCCGAGGCCCUUUGCAGCUCGGACUCUCGUAGACUCGCUCUGGAUGACGAGGCUAUCGUCGCAAGCACUCCGUCAAAACACGUCAUCGUGCCAUGAGAAGCCCAGCAGCAUCCUGAUGUGGGUCUCGAAGCCCUCGCGAAGACUCUCGCCUUGUGCGCUCGUCAAAGUAGGCUCGAAUAGAGAGCAAGGGAUCAGCCUCCACCAUGGCGGAAGACGAAGUCCUGCUCGUAGCUUCAGCUACGGUACGUUCCCACUGCUGAAGAUGUUCUAAAGCUCCGCGCUCCGGCCCAGCCUCCAAAUUUUUGAGUUGUCCCGAAAGAAUUGCUUGGAUUGGAGAUCUCCGGAACUCCCCCCAGGGUUGGGAAAGGACGGCCCAGCUGUGAGCGAGGUAGAUGUCGGCAGCCACCAAAUAGAGCUGCGUCCGCCGGUCCGAGAAAGUGUGCGGCCAAGGACGCGGUACCUGGCUCAUCCGAUGAGUAUAAGUCGCUCUAAAGCUAGGUACUCUCACAAUGUCGGUCAGGUUCGAUGAGCAGGUCGCGUCGAUAGAAACUCCUAGUUCUCUUCCUUCUUACGCUCCACGCGUAUUCUUGCGGGUCGAAUUCCCAUGAACUCAUCCAGCUUCGCACAUGCAUAGCGGGCGCCUCUGCUGCGGGGUAAUUUGCAUCCUCAGCUGGAACCUCUGGUGGUCGUCCGUCGUCGUCGAGCUCAGCAAGCAGAUAAAGAUGGAACGGAGCCGAGGGCCGAGCUACCUAGUGCAGGCGCACCUGAGGAGGUGGUGGACUUCCUACGGAGACUCUAAGAGCAGGCAUGACCCAUUCCAGAACCGGCGGCGUCGGGGAAGGUAGUCGCUUAUAUGGGAACACAGCUCUAGGCGGUGUGCGGCUCGUAAGGACUAGCUGGCAUGAGUGCUGCGUCGGAAACCGCCGCCAUGUGGAAAGGAGUCGUCAUCCUGAAUCCCGUCCCGUCAUCACUGGAGGCUUUAGACCUCGAGUGGUGAGGCUCGAGCUGCUUCGAUAGCAGUGAGUAUCCGCCCUGCUGGAUGUGGAAUGUUUUUUUUUACUUUUCUGGUCGAUCUGCUCACCCUACUCCUGCCCUGCCCCACCUGCCUCUGCCGUUGCUCGGAGGCCUGCUCUUUUCCUAGGAGGCUAAUUGACUAAGAGCCCUCAUGGGCGACGGCGUCCAGAAAGUUUGAUGGAACUAGCUCCCACGAACUCACGGAAGAAGGUGGGUCCGCUACUCCACGAGCCAAUCUGUAACACAAAGCACGCGUCAGCACGAAUAAUCGAGACUCGACCAACUCCGCCUACGGACUUGAGGCCCACAGAAACUUGCACUCACGUGCGCUAUGAGUAUUUCGCCCGUAGUCCUGCCUAUGGGUCAACCUAACCAAUGGUUCAUUUCAUUGAUUUUUCGAAAACCAACCUGUGAAUGGUAGUCUCCCCCUGUAUUUUGAGCACGGUCGUCGUAGCACAAGUACAGAGGAGAUCUGUCCCGUCGUGAAGUGGAUUCCCUGUAAUUGUGCGAUCUGACAUACUCUGGGGUCAGGUAUUUGAGAAAAACAAAAACAAAUUAUUAGUCAUUUCGCGUCAUUUCCAAACGCGCAACAAGGACCUCAGGGGUGACAGAUUAAAGUGGUAUCAGAGCCGGUUCAUCAGCUGGACAUGUGUGGCGAGUCUCGCUAUGAGCCACGGGUCGGAUGACGGGCUAACGAGCGACGUCUUACAUCGCGCUGGUGAUCUUGGGCUGUGUGUGUUGUGGACUCGACAGACGUCAGGACUGCAGCUUAAACGGGGAGUCCUGGUGACACCGCCAUAUCAACAUCGAUGAAAUGGAAGGUGUUGUUUAUUCAGGAGUUGAUAAGCACGACUUAGACACUAGCUAAAUAAUAACUGGCUUAGAGCAUUUGGGGUCUGUGUUGGUAUCAUGGGCCAACGAGUUACUCUUAAUUAAGCUUAGUGAAGCUUGGGCCUGGUCGUUACAUUGGUAAUCAGUCAAGUCGAAUUCUUUCAGCUCAUCGAAGCUACUGCUAGACACCGUCGAUUUGUUCAUGAAGUUAUUGUCGUUUCGAACUGCGAAUGAUGACCUGUCGUUCGGAUUCAGUAAUACCGAUUUUGCUGGGAGUCCACCGGGUUAUACCCAAAGCUCUCCGAGCUUUGCCUCAAUGUAAAGCUUGUGAAGCGGUGUGCGAUUUUGGAGAAGGCUGCAACGAAUCGCAAGAUAAUACCUGCACUGCGCCAAACCCUAGAAAAACUCCGGACUUGGUCACCGAAAGUUUUGGUUCAAGACCAGCUACACCACGCGAGGCUAUCUUCUUCGGGUCCGACCGAAUCCACGCCGGAGUAGAAUAUGCCGUCUCUCAAGAAUGACCACGUAGCGACGUCACGGAGCAGAAAUCCACUUCUUGAGCUUAGCGUUACAACUGUGCCGCCGCUGAAGUAUCUGGCAAUUAGCUCUGUCGCGAGAUGAUCCUCAGGUGCUCCCUACAAUACUCCGCGAGUAGAUCAGGAGUCAUCAUGAAACCGACGACAGACACUGAUCCAGAUAAGCUCGGAAGCCCUGUCAUUCAUGUCGCAUAGAAGGCUGCGCGGAGGAUUGGUGAGCCCGAAAGGCACACCGUGAACUCGUAGUGGCCGUAACGAGUCCGGAAAGGCGGUCUUUCGGCACAUCCUCAGCCCGGAUCUUUAAGCUGAUGUAGCCUCCCGACCGCAAGAUCAUCCUUGGAGUUAGCACCGACGAUCCUUUGACAAGGCUGGUCAUGGUACGAAGCCUGAACUUUCCAGUACGCGCUUUCUCAUCUUUAGAGUGACGGUCAGGUCCAGAGCGACGUGCAUCCAGACUUCUUGUACGACAUGCUCUGGCGCAGAUCGCGUCUGGAUUACGGUGGAUCGGAUGGUCUCGGUAUUACCGUUGGUGGAGUUUCGCGACUAUAAUAAACAGCUUUCAGGGUCGACAUCGGGAUGGCACCAUACCGAGGCGUCUGUUAUGGGCGUUCGAUGUCGUUCUCAGCUAUCUGCUUGGCACGCAUGUCGAAGACCGCCGGUUAGUUAGGACUACUAGAUUUAGUAGGAGACGCCACAUGAGGCAAGAUCCGCAUUGGGCGAGAGAGCGGCUUCAGACCUGCAACAGAUAGAAUCCAAGGGGCGACUAGCGCGGCCCAGGCGGAGGCCGGAACCUAGAGUUUCAGUCGUGAGUCAUGUGCUGCUCAAGUGUCGCCUUCCAGGAUCAAUACGGUUUGUUUGCGGAACAAGCUUAUCGCGCUGGUUUCGGUGGGACCCGUUCUGAGAUCCUACGAGCUGCGUUGGUCCGGUGGGCUUACCAGAUUGCUCUCAUACCGCAGUCUCGCCCGAGUGCAGCAACGUUUUUUCACGUGUCCCAUGCUUCGGAUACCACAUCCCGAUCCGUCCCCACAUCAUUCAGUCGACACGCAUUCAGCUAUGCGGGAGGAUCUCGAGCUAUGCAGUGAGGCUCCCGUUGCACGAUCCUGGUCACGUGAGGUGAACGCAGUUGCCGGAAUAGGAGCAUAUCCGUAUUCAAGGUCCAGUGGAGGAGAAGCGCGACGAGAGGGCUGCGCCUGAGGCUACUGGGAGCUUGAAUGCGUCAUGGCGGUCGAUCAUUAUCCACAGUUAUUUUGCGAGGGACGUCCUUGUNNNNNNNNNNNNNNNNNNNNNNNNNACUAAUUAUAUAGUUCUAUUAUGCCGCCGGCGCAAUUGUUAUAUAUUUGGAACGAUCUUAAAUUUACAAGAACCAAAUCGGAACAACAAUUAGACUACUAAGUUGCGCACCUAACAUAUUAACUUUUGCAACGAGCACUUAUUUCUCAUUCUACAAACAAAGAGUAAAACCAUUAUAUUGCUUAUUAUGCCUCGAGACAGUGUAAAUUUGGAACGAAUCAGAAACUUGUCAACGUUCACAAGACAACAAACAUGGACGAAAAUUAGCACUACUCAGUUUGCGCGCAACAGUAUAACUUUUGAACGAGUAUUUUUCUUCAUUGAUCAAUAGAACAAAGAGUUAAAACCUAAGUAUAUUAUUUUUUAUACCUCCAUUCGUGCUAAAUCGUAGAACGAGGUCAAUGUCAACGUUCACAAGACCAAAAUCGGAACACAUAGACUACUCAGUUGGCACCAACAGAUAUGAACUUAUGCACACGAAUACUUUUUUCUAAUUCUAUCAACAAAGAAGUAAACCCCAUAUUAUAUUGUAUCUUAUGCCCCAGAGUGUAAAUUUGGAACGUAACCAGAUGGCAAGGUUCACGUAAGAACAAAAAACAGGAACAAAAUUAGAUACUAGUUGCGGCCAAAAAGUCUAACUUUGCAACGAGUAUUUUUUCUCAUUUCUAUUAUCAGAAAGAGGUAAAACCUAAUUAUAUAGUUCUAAUUUGCCUGGAGUGUAAACUUGGAACGAAUCAGAUUCGUCAACGUGAUUAAGAAGAAAAACCAGAAAACACAUUACACUACUCUGGUUUGCAGCACUAACAGUAUAACUGCGACGUAGUACUUUUGUCUCUUUCUAUCGAACAAAAAGUGAAACCUAAUUAUCAUUCUAUUAUGCCCGGGCGAGUGUAAAUUGUGGAAGAUCUUCAACGUUCACAAAAGAACCAAAUCGGAACAACAUGAGCACUACUCAUUGCGACCUAACGUUAUAACUUUGCAACGAGUACUUUUCUGAUUUCUAUCAACAAAGAGAUAAAACCUUUAAUUAUAUCGAUAUCUAUAGUCUCGAGAGUGUAAAUUGGACGAUAUCAGAGUCAAGUUCAGAAAGAAUCAAAGAUUCGGCGAAGAACAUUAGAUACUCAGUUUUGGCCCUAACAGUUAUACUUAAUGCAACGAUCUUUUUCUACGUUCUAUCAAACAAAGAGUAAAAUACUAAUUAUAUUAUUUAUUAUACGCUCGAGAGUGUGAAUUUGGACGAAGGUCAUAUCAACGUUCACAAGAACCAGCCGGGAGACCGGUCCUUGUCCGAGAGACCGGUUCCCGAGAGCAAUACUUUCGGGACUUAGCCAAAUUUCGGCUUCUCUCGCUGGGCCAACGUUCGGGAACCGGUCCCUGCCUGCUAGGGACAGGUCUCAUCAGAGACCCCCGCAGCCCAGCCUGAUGGGACCGGUCCCUCCCUGCCAGGGACCGGUCCCCGAGAGCAUUUCUUCUCCAGUGCAGCUUUUGCACGGGUGCUCUCGCGGACACCUCCUCAAUGCACCUUAUGCAUUGUGAUCACCUUCGGACUUUCCGAAGCUUGCACGCACGACAACCAGUCGAUCUUUGACGAAGUCUAAUCCUCGAGUUUCGAGAAUUCACUUCCCUUACACUCUCCCCACUUAAAAGAGUUUCGUCCUCGAAACGAACUCAACAAUAUUAAAUUCAUCCAGAAUACUCAUACCUCGGUGGCUCACUCAAACAAGUGAGGAUGAUUCGCUCUCAUCUCCUCCUCGAGCUCCCAGGUGGCUUCGCGGUCAGCAUGAUUGCUCCACUCUCAGGGCAUAAUAGAAUAAUAUAAUUAGGUUUUACUCUUUGUUCGAUAGAAUGAGAAAAAGUACUCGUUGCAAAGUUAUACUGUUUGGGCGCAACAGAGUAGUCUAUUGUUGUUCCGGUUUUCGUUAUUGUGAACGUCGACAUCGAUUCGUUCCAAAUUUACACUCUCGGAGUAUAAUAGAACUAUAUAAUUUGGUUUUACUCUUUAUUCAAUAGAAUGAGAAAAAGUACUCGUUGCAAAGUUAUACUGUUUGGGCGCAACUCAGUGGUCUAAUUUUGUUCCGGUUUUUGUUCUUGUGAACGUUGACAUCGAUUCGUUCCAAAUUUAUACUCUCGGGGCAUAAUAGCACAAUAUAAUUAGGUUUUACUCUUUGUUCGAUAGAAUGAGAAAAAGUACUCGUUGCAAAGUUAUACUGUUAGGGUGCUACUGAAUAGUUGAAUGUUGUUCCAAUUUUGAUUCAUGUGAACGUUGACAUCGAUUCGUUCCAAAUUUACACUCUCGGGGCAUAAUAAAAUAAUAUAAUUAGGGUUUACUCUUUGCCCGAUAGAAUGAGAAAAAGUACUCGUUGCAAAGUUAUACUGUUAGUGUGCAACUGAGUAGUCUAAUAUUGUUCCGGUUUUUGUUCUUCAGAUCGUUGACAACGAUUCGUUCCAAAUUUACACUCUCAGGGCAUAAUAGAACAAUAUAAUUAGGUUUUACUCUUUGUUCGAUAGAAUGAGAAAAAGUACUCGUUGCAAAGUUAAACUGUUU